RNAcentral lists this long non-coding RNA (226 nucleotides) under Nicotiana benthamiana. Its description in RNAcentral is "long non-coding RNA (NBEN_LNC012829)". The record is from RNAcentral. Lineage: Eukaryota; Viridiplantae; Streptophyta; Magnoliopsida; Solanales; Solanaceae.
AACGGACAAGGGCCAAAGGCAGUGUGCGCACGGUGUAUGGGCGCCGGGCAGUGUGCGGGAAAUAUGAUGGCAGCGGAUUGCGCCGGUAUUGGUAUGGGACAAUGUCAAAUUGACUAAGGCAUAGCUCGAACAUCCUUAGGGCGGAAUGCAGCUGGUCCGAAUAGCACAUGAGAAGCACAUGGAAGCGGUUGGCAGGAGUUCCUUGUUUGUAGGCCAUGAUCUCCCA